RNAcentral lists this ribosomal RNA (827 nucleotides) under Campylobacter sp. Its description in RNAcentral is "bacterial SSU rRNA". It matches the Rfam family "Bacterial small subunit ribosomal RNA", at positions 616 to 1440 of the family's 1533-position model. Lineage: Bacteria; Pseudomonadati; Campylobacterota; Epsilonproteobacteria; Campylobacterales; Campylobacteraceae. The record is from RNAcentral.
CUCUUACUGCUUGGGAACUGAUAGUCUAGAGUGAGGGAGAGGCAGAUGGAAUUGGUGGUGUAGGGGUAAAAUCCGUAGAUAUCACCAAGAAUACCCAUUGCGAAGGCGAUCUGCUGGAACUCAACUGACGCUAAGGCGCGAAAGCGUGGGGAGCAAACAGGAUUAGAUACCCUGGUAGUCCACGCCCUAAACGAUGUACACUAGUUGUUGGGGUGCUAGUCAUCUCAGUAAUGCAGCUAACGCAUUAAGUGUACCGCCUGGGGAGUACGGUCGCAAGAUUAAAACUCAAAGGAAUAGACGGGGACCCGCACAAGCGGUGGAGCAUGUGGUUUAAUUCGAAGAUACGCGAAGAACCUUACCUGGGCUUGAUAUCCUAAGAACCUUUUAGAGAUAAGAGGGUGCUAGCUUGCUAGAACUUAGAGACAGGUGCUGCACGGCUGUCGUCAGCUCGUGUCGUGAGAUGUUGGGUUAAGUCCCGCAACGAGCGCAACCCACGUAUUUAGUUGCUAACGGUUCGGCCGAGCACUCUAAAUAGACUGCCUUCGUAAGGAGGAGGAAGGUGUGGACGACGUCAAGUCAUCAUGGCCCUUAUGCCCAGGGCGACACACGUGCUACAAUGGCAUAUACAAUGAGACGCAAUACCGCGAGGUGGAGCAAAUCUAUAAAAUAUGUCCCAGUUCGGAUUGUUCUCUGCAACUCGAGAGCAUGAAGCCGGAAUCGCUAGUAAUCGUAGAUCAGCCAUGCUACGGUGAAUACGUUCCCGGGUCUUGUACUCACCGCCCGUCACACCAUGGGAGUUGAUUUCACUCGAAGCCGGAAUACUAACA